UUCUGGCUCAGGAGUGAACGCUAGCUACAGGCUUAACACAUGCAAGUCGAGGGGCAGCAUUGGAGUAGCAAUACUCAGAUGGCGACCGGCGCACGGGUGAGUAACACGUAUCCAACCUGCCGCUUACUCGGGGAUAGCCUUUCGAAAGAAAGAUUGAUACCCGAUGGUAUAAAGAGUUCGCAUGUUCUCUUUAUUAAAGAAUUUCGGUAAGCGAUGGGGAUGCGUUCCAUUAGAUAGUUGGCGGGGUAACGGCCCACCAAGUCUACGAUGGAUAGGGGUUCUGAGAGGAAGGUCCCCCACAUUGGAACUGAGACACGGUCCAAACUCCUACGGGAGGCAGCAGUGAGGAAUAUUGGUCAAUGGACGAGAGUCUGAACCAGCCAAAAGUAGCGUGAAGGAUGACUGCCCUAUGGGUUGUAAACUUCUUUUAUAAGGGAAUAAAGUGAGGGACGUGUCCCUUUUUGUAUGUACCUUAUGAAUAAGGAUCGGCUAACUCCGUGCCAGCCGCCGC
This 511-nucleotide ribosomal RNA is filed under the name uncultured bacterium. RNAcentral describes it as "bacterial SSU rRNA". It matches the Rfam family "Bacterial small subunit ribosomal RNA", at positions 17 to 518 of the family's 1533-position model. The record is from RNAcentral.